CUAACGUGGACCCGUAAUCCGGGUUGCAGACAGUGUCUGGUGGGUAGUUUGACUGGGGCGGUCUCCUCCUAAAGAGUAACGGAGGAGCACGAAGGUUGGCUAAUCCUGGUCGGACAUCAGGAGGUUAGUGCAAUGGCAUAAGCCAGCUUGACUGCGAGCGUGACGGCGCGAGCAGGUGCGAAAGCAGGUCAUAGUGAUCCGGUGGUUCUGAAUGGAAGGGCCAUCGCUCAACGGAUAAAAGGUACUCCGGGGAUAACAGGCUGAUACCGCCCAAGAGUUCAUAUCGACGGCGGUGUUUGGCACCUCGAUGUCGGCUCAUCACAUCCUGGGGCUGAAGUAGGUCCCAAGGGUAUGGCUGUUCGCCAUUUAAAGUGGUACGCGAGCUGGGUUUAGAACGUCGUGAGACAGUUCGGUCCCUAUCUGCCGUGGGCGCUGGAGAACUGAGGGGGGCUGCUCCUAGUACGAGAGGACCGGAGUGGACGCAUCACUGGUGUUCGGGUUGUCAUGCCAAUGGCACUGCCCGGUAGCUAAAUGCGGAAGAGAUAAGUGCUGAAAGCAUCUAAGCACGAAACUUGCCCCGAGAUGAGUUCUCCCUGAGACUUAGAGUCUCCUGAAGGAACGUUGAAGACGACGACGUUGAUAGGCCGGGUGUGUAAGCGCAGCGAUGCGUUGAGCUAACCGGUACUAAUGAACCGUGAGGCUUAACCUUACAACGCCGAAG
RNAcentral lists this ribosomal RNA (721 nucleotides) under Salmonella enterica. RNAcentral's name for it is "partial 23S ribosomal RNA". It matches the Rfam family "Bacterial large subunit ribosomal RNA", at positions 2222 to 2925 of the family's 2925-position model. Lineage: Bacteria; Pseudomonadati; Pseudomonadota; Gammaproteobacteria; Enterobacterales; Enterobacteriaceae. The record is from RNAcentral.